RNAcentral lists this small nuclear RNA (196 nucleotides) under Diplodia corticola. RNAcentral describes it as "Botryosphaeria corticola U2 spliceosomal RNA". It matches the Rfam family "U2 spliceosomal RNA". Rfam says of the family: U2 is a small nuclear RNA (snRNA) component of the spliceosome (involved in pre-mRNA splicing). Complementary binding between U2 snRNA (in an area lying towards the 5' end but 3' to hairpin I) and the branchpoint sequence (BPS) of the intron results the bulging out of an unpaired adenosine, on the BPS, which initiates a nucleophilic attack at the intronic 5' splice site, thus starting the first of two transesterification reactions that mediate splicing. Lineage: Eukaryota; Fungi; Ascomycota; Dothideomycetes; Botryosphaeriales; Botryosphaeriaceae. The record is from Rfam by way of RNAcentral.
CACGCUCUCUUUGCCUUUUGGCUUUGAUCAAGUGCAGUGGCUGUUCUUUUCAGUUUAAUCUCUGAAACGCCCCUACGGGAGCAUUUUUCUUGAUUAAUCUAGUUUUUGGAACCGGGCCGGCGGCCGCUGAGCUUCGCUUAUGUUGCUGGUCACAGUGUCGCCUCUAUUGCACUGUCUGAGGCUGAUGCGAACUUUU